CUGGCCACUGUCACAUGCAGUACCCGGUCACCCAGGUGUGGAGGGGCUUGCACACCUGCAUGUUGCAAACGUGGGGAGAACGACUUGCAAACAUGGAUAAGAUUUCAAUAGUUGCCCUGUUUUUUUUUUACAGCUACAAUUCCUCCUCUAGCAUCAACAAUUAAUGCUCAAGUUGAAAACAAGGCAUUUCUUUCAACCACAUCAAUUACAACUGAAACAGCUACAAAAACCACUACUAUGGUACCAUGGACCACGACAAAGGAAUUCGCAACUGCGACCAUGGCCAAUAAAGCCCACAUGAAGCGCUUCAGCCUAAACAGCGAUGAAUGCCACGAUCACAACCACCGACACCAUCGACGCCACCGACACU
Molecule: long non-coding RNA, 370 nt
Organism: Scleropages formosus (Asian bonytongue)
Lineage: Eukaryota; Metazoa; Chordata; Actinopteri; Osteoglossiformes; Osteoglossidae
Exons: 3
Source: RefSeq, a predicted model, not a curated record